This 2209-nucleotide ribosomal RNA is filed under the name Campylobacter jejuni. RNAcentral describes it as "partial 23S ribosomal RNA". It matches the Rfam family "Bacterial large subunit ribosomal RNA", at positions 866 to 2925 of the family's 2925-position model. Lineage: Bacteria; Pseudomonadati; Campylobacterota; Epsilonproteobacteria; Campylobacterales; Campylobacteraceae. The record is from RNAcentral.
AUAUUUAGGUAUAGCGUUGUGUCGUAAUAUAAGGGGGUAGAGCACUGAAUGGGCUAGGGCAUACACCAAUGUACCAAACCCUAUCAAACUCCGAAUACCUUAUAUGUAAUCACAGCAGUCAGGCGGCGAGUGAUAAAAUCCGUCGUCAAGAGGGAAACAACCCAGACUACCAGCUAAGGUCCCUAAAUCUUACUUAAGUGGAAAACGAUGUGAAGUUACUUAAACAACCAGGAGGUUGGCUUAGAAGCAGCCAUCCUUUAAAGAAAGCGUAAUAGCUCACUGGUCUAGUGAUUUUGCGCGGAAAAUAUAACGGGGCUAAAGUAAGUACCGAAGCUGUAGACUUGCACACAACUUAGAUUAUUUAAGUUUAGAAUAUGAGAAACUAAGUUAUGUUUAGUUAUAUUUUUACUGAUUUUUAUAGAGUAAAGAUAGAAAUAAAACUUAGUAAAAUCAGUAAAAAUAUUCUUAGGCUAAAGUUAAGUAGUUUAAGUUGUGUGUAAGUGGUAGGAGAGCGUUCUAUUUGCGUCGAAGGUAUACCGGUAAGGAGUGCUGGAGCGAAUAGAAGUGAGCAUGCAGGCAUGAGUAGCGAUAAUUAAUGUGAGAAUCAUUAACGCCGUAAACCCAAGGUUUCCUACGCGAUGCUCGUCAUCGUAGGGUUAGUCGGGUCCUAAGUCGAGUCCGAAAGGGGUAGACGAUGGCAAAUUGGUUAAUAUUCCAAUACCAACAUUAGUGUGCGAUGGAAGGACGCUUAGGGCUAAGGGGGCUAGCGGAUGGAAGUGCUAGUCUAAGGUCGUAGGAGGUUAUACAGGCAAAUCCGUAUAACAAUACUCCGAGAACUGAAAGGCUUUUUGAAGUCUUCGGAUGGAUAGAAGAACCCCUGAUGCCGUCGAGCCAAGAAAAGUUUCUAAGUUUAGCUAAUGUUGCCCGUACCGUAAACCGACACAGGUGGGUGGGAUGAGUAUUCUAAGGCGCGUGGAAGAACUCUCUUUAAGGAACUCUGCAAAAUAGCACCGUAUCUUCGGUAUAAGGUGUGGUUAGCUUCGUACUAGGAUUUACUCCGAAAGCGAAGAAACUUACAACAAAGAGUCCCUCCCGACUGUUUACCAAAAACACAGCACUCUGCUAACUCGUAAGAGGAUGUAUAGGGUGUGACGCCUGCCCGGUGCUCGAAGGUUAAUUGAUGGGGUUAGCAUUAGCGAAGCUCUUGAUCGAAGCCCGAGUAAACGGCGGCCGUAACUAUAACGGUCCUAAGGUAGCGAAAUUCCUUGUCGGUUAAAUACCGACCUGCAUGAAUGGCGUAACGAGAUGGGAGCUGUCUCAAAGAGGGAUCCAGUGAAAUUGUAGUGGAGGUGAAAAUUCCUCCUACCCGCGGCAAGACGGAAAGACCCCGUGGACCUUUACUACAGCUUGACACUGCUACUUGGAUAAGAAUGUGCAGGAUAGGUGGGAGGCUUUGAGUAUAUGACGCCAGUUGUAUAUGAGCCAUUGUUGAGAUACCACUCUUUCUUAUUUGGGUAGCUAACCAGCUUGAGUUAUCCUCAAGUGGGACAAUGUCUGGUGGGUAGUUUGACUGGGGCGGUCGCCUCCCAAAUAAUAACGGAGGCUUACAAAGGUUGGCUCAGAACGGUUGGAAAUCGUUCGUAGAGUAUAAAGGUAUAAGCCAGCUUAACUGCAAGACAUACAAGUCAAGCAGAGACGAAAGUCGGUCUUAGUGAUCCGGUGGUUCUGUGUGGAAGGGCCAUCGCUCAAAGGAUAAAAGGUACCCCGGGGAUAACAGGCUGAUCUCCCCCAAGAGCUCACAUCGACGGGGAGGUUUGGCACCUCGAUGUCGGCUCAUCGCAUCCUGGGGCUGGAGCAGGUCCCAAGGGUAUGGCUGUUCGCCAUUUAAAGCGGUACGCGAGCUGGGUUCAGAACGUCGUGAGACAGUUCGGUCCCUAUCUGCCGUGGGCGUAAGAAGAUUGAAGAGAUUUGACCCUAGUACGAGAGGACCGGGUUGAACAAACCACUGGUGUAGCUGUUGUUCUGCCAAGAGCAUCGCAGCGUAGCUAAGUUUGGAAAGGAUAAACGCUGAAAGCAUCUAAGCGUGAAGCCAACUCUAAGAUGAAUCUUCUCUAAGCUCUCUAGAAGACUACUAGUUUGAUAGGCUGGGUGUGUAAUGGAUGAAAGUCCUUUAGCUGACCAGUACUAAUAGAGCGUUUGGCUUAUCUUU